AUUGAACGCUGGCGGCAUGCUUUACACAUGCAAGUCGAACGGUAACAGGCUUUCGGGUGCUGACGAGUGGCGAACGGGUGAGUAAUGCAUCGGAACGUACCCAGAGGUGGGGGAUAACGCAGCGAAAGCUGUGCUAAUACCGCAUGUGAUCUGAGGAUGAAAGCGGGGGACCGAGCAGCAAUGUUUGGCCUCGCGCCUUUGGAGCGGCCGAUGUCGGAUUAGCUAGUUGGUGGGGUAAAGGCCUACCAAGGCGACUAUCCGUAGCUGGUCUGAGAGGACGACCAGCCACACUGGGACGGGGACACGGCCCAGACUCCUGCGGGAGGGAGCAGUGGGGAAUGUUGGACAAUGGGCGCAAGCCUGAUCCAGCAAUGCCGCGUGCGGGAAGAAGGCCUUCGGGUUGUAAACCGCUUUUGGCAGGAACGAAACGGUGUCCGCUAAUACCGGGCGCUAAUGACGGUACCUGGAGAAUAAGCACCGGCUAACUACGUG
RNAcentral lists this ribosomal RNA (492 nucleotides) under uncultured bacterium. Its description in RNAcentral is "partial 16S ribosomal RNA". It matches the Rfam family "Bacterial small subunit ribosomal RNA", at positions 29 to 507 of the family's 1533-position model. The record is from RNAcentral.